RNAcentral lists this transfer RNA (65 nucleotides) under Ceruchus minor. RNAcentral's name for it is "tRNA-Ser". Lineage: Eukaryota; Metazoa; Arthropoda; Insecta; Coleoptera; Lucanidae. The record is from RNAcentral.
AGCUUAUGAACUUGAACAAGUGUGUACUUUGAAAGUAUAAAAAAGAAUAGGUUUUCUAUAAGCUU